GACAGAGGAUGCAAGCGUUAUCCGGAAUGAUUGGGCGUAAAGCGUCUGUAGGUGGCUUUUUAAGUCUGCCGUCAAAUCCCAGGGCUUAACCCUGGACAGGCGGUGGAAACUACCAAGCUGGAGUACGGUAGGGGCAGGGGGAAUUUCCGGUGGAGCGGUGAAAUGCGUAGAGAUCGGAAAGAGCACCAACGGCGAAAGCACUCUGCUGGGCCGACACUGACACUGAGAGACGAAAGCUAGGGGAGCGAAUGGG
RNAcentral lists this ribosomal RNA (253 nucleotides) under uncultured bacterium. RNAcentral describes it as "partial 16S ribosomal RNA". It matches the Rfam family "Bacterial small subunit ribosomal RNA", at positions 524 to 776 of the family's 1533-position model. The record is from RNAcentral.